UACGUAGGGUGCGAGCGUUGUCCGGAAUUACUGGGCGUAAAGAGCUUGUAGGUGGUUUGUCGCGUUGUUCGUGAAAACUCACAGCUCAACUGUGGGCGUGCGGGCGAUACGGGCAGACUAGAGUACUGCAGGGGAGACUGGAAUUCCUGGUGUAGCGGUGGAAUGCGCAGAUAUCAGGAGGACCACCGGUGGCGAAGGCGGGUCUCUGGGCAGUAACUGACGCUGAGAAGCGAAAGCGUGGGGAGCGAACAGG
Molecule: ribosomal RNA, 253 nt
Filed under: uncultured bacterium
Lineage: Bacteria
Description: partial 16S ribosomal RNA
Rfam family: Bacterial small subunit ribosomal RNA
Source: RNAcentral